Molecule: ribosomal RNA, 482 nt
Filed under: Blastocystis sp.
Lineage: Eukaryota; Bigyra; Opalinata; Blastocystidae
Description: SSU rRNA
Rfam family: Eukaryotic small subunit ribosomal RNA
Source: RNAcentral
GGAGGUAGUGACAAUAAAUCACAAUGCGGAACUAUUAGUUUUGCAAUUGGAUUGAGAACAAUGUACAAAUGUUAUCGAUAAACAAUUGGAGGGCAAGUCUGGUGCCAGCAGCCGCGGUAAUUCCAGCUCCAAUAGCGUAUAUUAACGUUGUUGCAGUUAAAAAGCUCGUAGUUGAAUUGAAGUGAACUUGGGUUGAUGUGAUCUUCGGAUGACAUGAAUCAAAGUUGACUCUUUCCAAAGUCAAUACAUUGGUAUUCAUUUAUCUUUGUAUUGUGUUUGGUCAUUUACUGUGAGGAAAUUAGAGUGUUCAAAGCAGACGUUUGUUUGAAUACAUUAGCAUGGAAUAAUCAUAUAUGGCUUUCAUGUUGAUUUGAUUGGUUUGAAUAUGGAAGCAAGAUUAAAAGGGACAGUUGGGGGUAUUCAUAUUCAAUAGUCAGAGGUGAAAUUCUGGGAUUUAUGGAAGAUGAACAAGUGCGAAAGCA